This 1021-nucleotide ribosomal RNA is filed under the name uncultured bacterium. RNAcentral's name for it is "bacterial SSU rRNA". It matches the Rfam family "Bacterial small subunit ribosomal RNA", at positions 28 to 1028 of the family's 1533-position model. The record is from RNAcentral.
AUUGAACGCUGGCGGCGUGCCUAACACAUGCAAGUCGAACGCGAAAGUUCCUUCGGGGGCGAGUAGAGUGGCGCACGGGUGAGUAACACGUGGAUAAUCUGCCUUCAAGUUUGGGAUAACAGUUGGAAACGGCUGCUAAUACCGAAUACGCUGACAUUAUAUAGAUGUUGGGAAAGAUGGCCUCUGUAUAUGCUAUUGCUUGGAGAUGAGUCCGCGUCCCAUUAGCUAGUUGGUAGGGUAAGAGCCUACCAAGGCGACGAUGGGUAGCUGGUCUGAGAGGAUGAUCAGUCACACUGGAACUGAAACACGGUCCAGACUCCUACGGGAGGCAGCAGUGGGGAAUAUUGCGCAAUGGGCGAAAGCCUGACGCAGCGACGCCGCGUGAGGGAUGAAGGUUUUCGAAUCGUAAACCUCUGUCAGAAGGGAAGAAGUGUACUUGUGCUAAUCAGCAAGUAUUUGACGGUACCUUCAAAGGAAGCACCGGCUAACUCCGUGCCAGCAGCCGCGGUAAUACGGAGGGUGCGAGCGUUAAUCGGAAUUACUGGGCGUAAAGCGCACGUAGGCUGUAUUGUAAGUCAGGGGUGAAAUGCCAAGGCUCAACCAUGGAACUGCCUUUGAUACUGCAAGACUAGAAUUCGGGAGAGGAUAGUGGAAUUUCGGGUGUAGGAGUGAAAUCCGUAGAUAUCCGAAGGAACAUCAGUGGCGAAGGCGACUAUCUGGACCGAUAUUGACGCUGAAGUGCGAAAGCGUGGGGAGCAAACAGGAUUAGAUACCCUGGUAGUCCACGCUGGUAAACGAUGGAUGCUAGGCGUUUGGGGAGUAAAUCUUCGGCGCCGUAGUUAACGCCGUUAAGCCAUCCCCCCUGGGGAGUACGGUCCCCAAGGCUAAAACUCAAAGAAUAUUGACCGGGGCCCCCACAAACCGGUGGAAUAUGUGGUUUAAUUUCAAUGCACCCCGAGGAACUUACCUAGGUUUUAACUUCACAAAACCUUUAAAAAAUAAAGGUGUGCCUUUCGGGAAA